AUUGAACGCUGGCGGCAUGCUUUACACAUGCAAGUCGAACGGUAACAGGCCGCAAGGUGCUGACGAGUGGCGAACGGGUGAGUAAUGCAUCGGAACGUGCCCAGUCGUGGGGGAUAACGCAGCGAAAGCUGUGCUAAUACCGCAUACGAUCUAUGGAUGAAAGCGGGGGACCGUAAGGCCUCGCGCGAUUGGAGCGGCCGAUGUCAGAUUAGGUAGUUGGUGGGGUAAAGGCCCACCAAGCCGACGAUCUGUAGCUGGUCUGAGAGGACGACCAGCCACACUGGGACUGAGACACGGCCCAGACUCCUACGGGAGGCAGCAGUGGGGAAUUUUGGACAAUGGGCGAAAGCCUGAUCCAGCAAUGCCACGUGCAGGAAGAAGGCCUUCGGGUUGUAAACUGCUUUUGUACGGAGCGAAAAGGUCCUUUCUAAUACAAGGGGCUCAUGACGGUACCGUAAGAAUAAGCACCGGCUAACUACGUGCCAGCCGCCGCGGUAA
RNAcentral lists this ribosomal RNA (498 nucleotides) under uncultured bacterium. Its description in RNAcentral is "partial 16S ribosomal RNA". It matches the Rfam family "Bacterial small subunit ribosomal RNA", at positions 30 to 523 of the family's 1533-position model. The record is from RNAcentral.